Etheostoma cragini (Arkansas darter) is the source of this 1364-nucleotide long non-coding RNA. RefSeq lists it as uncharacterized. Lineage: Eukaryota; Metazoa; Chordata; Actinopteri; Perciformes; Percidae. The record is from RefSeq and is a predicted model, not a curated record. The transcript has 2 exons.
CUGCAACAAAAAAAAGGAUCACUGGGACGGAUGGGAUGACAGGUUGCAUCUGCAGACGAGGCUCUUAAGGAUUAAGUUAGAAAGAAAAGAGUCAAUCGGAUCUCCAUCUCUCCGUUACCCCCGGGCUGUGAGUGCUGGGCCCCCGCGUCUCGUACCUCUUCCUAUCUGACAUGUAAAAUCUGCAAACGCUGCGGUGUAAGGCUCGAAGGGAUUUUCUGCGGGGCGCAUGCGCUGCUGCCUUACAAGCGUCCAAGCACACCCCUUGUUUUCUUUGGGACCAGGCGGGACCAGGUCCGACACGCUUUGGUGCGCAUGCCCUAAUGACACACACUCUAUUGGCUAUUGUCCACCUUCAGAUGAGGUGCAGAGAUGAAUUCAGGAGAUCCCAAUACUCUCCUCCUCCCAUGGCAAAUCUUACACUCAUUAUCUAUGAAUCACAUCCUCAAAUCAAUGGGUUUUUCCUAAAACCCCAAUAUACCAUAUAUUAUCUGUACUAUAAAGUUAAAACAUCACUUCAACAGCAUCUUUCAAUGACUUGAACCUCUUAAGUUGAAGAAAAGCCAACUAAAUUGAAGCACUGAGAUCAAUUAUCAUCUCCUGGAAUCCACAUCCCACUUUUGGAAAGACAGUCACAGAAUAAAAUAAAGACCAUAAGCUGGUAAUAAAUAUAGAUAUCUUUAAUUGCAUUUCAUUAGUUUAAGAAUGCCACAAGUUAUAAAUACCACAAAUCUGGUUUCAACAUGCCAAACCUUUUCCAAGACAUAUAACAGGUUUAUUACUAAGUACAGUCUUCCAUUUCAAAGGACACACAUUUCAAAUAAAAGCAUUUCUUAAAAUUCGUUUUUAAAAUACUAAGUAGUAUAAGGCUUGGCUAUUAUAGCAAAGACCACAGGGUUAGUGCCAAAAUGCUAAAAGUUAAGAAGGGACAAAUUAAAGGAUGCAUUCCACAAAACAAUAUGAAAAGAAGUUCUGUGUGUGAUAAAAUUGUAAAGUUGCAGAAAAUGUGUAUGGUUGUUGCCGGCUAAUAAUCUUUUUUCAAGAUGUGCAAGGAUGUCAGUGAUAGUUUUGUCUCAGUUUCUUGUUUGGUGUGAAACAACUAAUUUGUUAUAAUACAUCAUGUGCCACUUCAAGUCCACAGAAGCUUGACCUUAACAUAAAAAUUCAACAAAAAAUCUACUUAACCAAUAGCAAGUCAGUUUAGGUCAUUUUAGAUCAGGUGGGCUCUUCCUUACACGUAAAAACAAAACAGAAACACUCACGGUGCUACAAUAUUGCAUUAAUUUAACAAAAAAAGAUGGAAGAAUUAAAUGUUUAUUACCAUCCAUGAACACAGGAGGGCUUAACAUGCAUUACCUAGUGUUUUU